Lolium perenne is the source of this 1640-nucleotide non-coding RNA. The record is from RefSeq and is a predicted model, not a curated record. Lineage: Eukaryota; Viridiplantae; Streptophyta; Magnoliopsida; Poales; Poaceae.
GCCCAUUCGUUCUGUCUCGCACGCACGCGACCUCGCUCUAGUCCCCUUUCACGCCCAUGCUAUGCCGCCGCCGCCACCCACGGCUCCGACCGUCGCCGGCCUCCUCCUCCGUUGCGGCUCGCCGGCACAGCUCCGCCCCGGUAUUUUACCUUGAUUCCUCGCCGCCACGACGCUGCUCUCCUCCAGUGCGCGCCCCCACGGAAAACCCUUAGCCGUGUGGCUCGUCUUCGCUGCGUUGGCGCGUCCUCAAGCCUCCAGUUGCUUACCUCCGACAACUACGGAUGCCCACGUCGUCUACGACCCCGCUCUGACCUCUAGUACCAUGGCUGCUCCAGCCCGACGCCUAUGACCACCUCCAGGUUCCCCCGUCGACCAUGUCCUCAAUCCCCAUCCUCAAGGUCGUCACGGAACUUCCGCUGCUAGGCCGAGUGGCUGCCGUUGUAGAUCAUGGUGUUCCCGAUUAGUUUGGCCACCGCGAGUCUGAGAGCAUUGGGAACAGAAAAGUCUGACCAGAUUUUGCAAGCGGUUAGGGAUCUUCUUCGUGAAAAGAGUUCAUUUAAAAACCAACCGGACUGGGUUACAGUUCUUGAUGGAUCUCAGGAAGGUGCAUAUGAAUGGGUUACCAUUAAUUAUCUGUUGGGAAAUUUGGGAAAGACCUACCCAGACACUAUUUGUGUGGUUGAUCUUGGCGGUGGAUCCGUCCAAAUGGCAUACGCUAUCGCAGAGAAGGAUGCCGCGAAGGCUCCUAAACCAGCAGAUGGUGAAGAUGCAUAUGUGAAGAAGCUCUUCCUUAAGGGAACGACAUAUUAUGUUUAUGUCCACAGAUGCGGAAGAAUCCUUGAGGAGUUGAUGCACAAGGUCUUACAGAGCGAAAAGAAGAGUAUACGAUGACCUACAGGCCUACAGAACUCAUUUUGGGAUUCUUCGACAAAUUUGGUCAAUUCAAUGGGGCUCGUUGUCCCUCACCAAACAUAUAGCCACUGCUACUAGUAGUCAGUUUUUCUUUGUGAGCCAGGAAUGAAGACUGACCAGAUACCGAGAGAUGCAAUGGCAGGUCAAUGCAUUGGAAUGGCAACUACUGGACUAUCCUCUUCAUUCAAAUGCUCAAGUCUUUGAGUUUAUCUGUCCUCCUCCGUCGAAGCAGGCUGGCUCAACUCCUGCCUGCCCUCCUACUCCGCCCACGAGUGACAAAAGAGAGCGGUGACUGAGAUUUGUGGAGUCCAGUCCACUAAAUUCUUACACUUCGAAGGAGAUAUAUGGCUUUAAAAACACCCUGCUUUUAAAAUAUGGAUAAAUUACUGGAAGUGUUGGGACUGGAAGUAUACCUGCAUCUUCUUUGUGAGGAGCAUUAUCUUUUUGGUGAGGAUCAUUGUUUUUUUUCCGGAGCAGUACAAUUCAAGAUCCUGUAAUUAGAUUCUGUAAUUUAGAUGCUACAUGGAAAUGUUUGUUCUAGACCAUGUUGACACCAUGUUGCUUGCAAAUGUUGGUUUCAAACCAUGUUGACACAAUGUCGCUUGCAAAUAUUGGUCCCAUCAUGUAAUUUAGAUGCAUGGUUGUAAUUUUAAUGCAUGAUCAUGUCGCUGUGUUGGAUCAAAAUGCCAAGCAAUAUGAAGGUGCUAUGAUUAUUGCCUUGUUUUGAA